AUUGAACGCUGGCGGCAUGCUUUACACAUGCAAGUCGAACGGCAGCGCGGGCUUCGGCCUGGCGGCGAGUGGCGAACGGGUGAGUAAUGCAUCGGAACGUGCCCAGUAGUGGGGGAUAGCCCGGCGAAAGCCGGAUUAAUACCGCAUACGACCUGAGGGUGAAAGCGGGGGACCGAAAGGCCUCGCGCUAUUGGAGCGGCCGAUGUUGGAUUAGCUAGUUGGUGGGGUAAAGGCUUACCAAGGCGACGAUCCGUAGCUGGUCUGAGAGGACGACCAGCCACACUGGGACUGAGACACGGCCCAGACUCCUACGGGAGGCAGCAGUGGGGAAUUUUGGACAAUGGGGGCAACCCUGAUCCAGCCAUGCCGCGUGCGGGAAGAAGGCCUUCGGGUUGUAAACCGCUUUUGUUCGGGAAGAAAUCCUCUGGGCUAAUACCCCGGGGGGAUGACGGUACCGGAAGAAUAAGCACCGGCUAACUACGUG
Molecule: ribosomal RNA, 484 nt
Filed under: uncultured bacterium
Lineage: Bacteria
Description: partial 16S ribosomal RNA
Rfam family: Bacterial small subunit ribosomal RNA
Source: RNAcentral